RNAcentral lists this ribosomal RNA (637 nucleotides) under uncultured bacterium. Its description in RNAcentral is "bacterial SSU rRNA". It matches the Rfam family "Bacterial small subunit ribosomal RNA", at positions 202 to 842 of the family's 1533-position model. The record is from RNAcentral.
UAAAGAUUCAUCGCUGAUAGAUAGGCAUGCGUUCCAUUAGGCAGUUGGCGGGGUAACGGCCCACCAAACCGACGAUGGAUAGGGGUUCUGAGAGGAAGGUCCCCCACAUUGGUACUGAGACACGGACCAAACUCCUACGGGAGGCAGCAGUGAGGAAUAUUGGUCAAUGGGCGUAAGCCUGAACCAGCCAAGUCGCGUGAGGGAUGAAGGUUCUAUGGAUCGUAAACCUCUUUUAUAAGGGAAUAAAGUGUGGGACGUGUCCUAUUUUGUAUGUACCUUAUGAAUAAGGAUCGGCUAACUCCGUGCCAGCAGCCGCGGUAAUACGGAGGAUCCGAGCGUUAUCCGGAUUUAUUGGGUUUAAAGGGUGCGUAGGCGGCCUUUUAAGUCAGCGGUGAAAGUCUGUGGCUCAACCAUAGAAUUGCCGUUGAAACUGGGGGGCUUGAGUAUGUUUGAGGCAGGCGGAAUGCGUGGUGUAGCGGUGAAAUGCUUAGAUAUCACGCAGAACCCCGAUUGCGAAGGCAGCCUGCCAAGCCAUGACUGACGCUGAUGCACGAAAGCGUGGGGAUCAAACAGGAUUAGAUACCCUGGUAGUCCACGCAGUAAACGAUGGUCACUAGCUGUUUGCGAUACAGUGUAA